CCUGGAAAGACAGGAAGGGGCGGACGUCAGGCGCGUACCGGACACCCUCCCGGACACCCCUCCACGCAGCAGAGAUGAGGGGCACGCCGUACAAGCCGAGCAGAGCCCUGCCAUCCCAUCCCGCGUGUGCAAACGUGUGGCUGAUGAUGUCAAGUUCACAAAACUUCAACAUGGCUGGAGUUAUGCUCAGUUGACCACCCUGAUGGCUCAGAAUGACCAAGGAUUAGGAAAACCACCUAAGGCUUUUCCCAGAUGUUUUGAAGUUUAUCUAAGCUCAAUACCUUACUUAGACCUUCGCCAGUUAGGGGCACACCCUUCACUUCCCCACGGCGGGGCUGGUGACGCCCGCAACCCUCCCAGGGCCCUGGCCCUCAGAUCCCUCUGCCUUGCCAGGUACCGUCCAGCCGUGAGCCGUGUAGCCAGCCGGCCUCACCCUCCUUCUCCCGACUGCCAGCUCUACUCCACCAAAACCCCUCCAGGGGCCUGGCCCUGCCCUGCCCCAGGCUGAGAGCCUGGCUGAGAACCGCCUGAGGGCAGCAGGCCUGUCAAAGAGAGUGGCAGUCACUGCUCCGCCUACCACAGGCCUGGCGCAGAGAGCCACUCACUCCAGGAAAAGGAAACGGUCUAGAAACCGCAGAAGGAGGCUGCGCGAGAACACAGGCGGCCCUGCCAACAGGAGGCUGGACACGGAGAGACCAGAGCCGCCCUUCCCCGCGGCCUGGAAACGGGAGAGACCGGGGGCCAGUGAAGCGGGUUUUCUCAUGGGUCCUUUUCUCAGAACCGACUCCACUCACUGGGAAAGGUCCCAAAGUGAGAGAUCUAGAAAACUGUGCAGCCUGUAUCCCCCAGAGCAGGCUCCUGCUACGGACCACCAGGGGAUGGUGUUCAAGGGCAGACGGUUCGGUCGUGCCGGGUAGGGCCUGAGGACGGCACUUCUGGCACGCUCCAGAAGGGCCCGUGAGCACUGUGGGUAACCAGGGUGGAGACAGGGACCAGCGGUAAAAGAUGAAGGGUCAGUUCUUAUUACUUACGAUAGUGAGCACCCAUAGGCUACCUGACUUCGGACCUCCAGAUGGGAUACCGUGAGCCACCGUGUCGGGAGCCCAGGGCGAGGGUUUCACAGGCCAUGGGACCGCCUUCACCAAAGCCCUAACACCCCCAGAACACCCUCCUAUUCCUCCAUGAGCCAGGAGCGGGUGUAAAACCCCCUGCCCUCCGCGGCCACUGCUCCAGGGAGGGGGUGAUGCACAGAGUCCCUGCUCGGCAGCCAUCACCGACAGGCUCGGGCCGAAGCCGAGCGCUGAGCCCCAAGGAUCCGUGACCCUCACACGGGCACUGACGCGGCCUCAGGACGUAUCCAGGCAGGCUCACGACGUGCUGCUAUGCCACAUCAGGGGACACGCUCUGCCCCUCUGUGUCCCAAGGGUCCACUGGUGGCACUGACCUUUGCUUCCCAGCCCCACCCACGCCGGGGUCUCAGGGAGGCGCUUGGCCAGGCGCUGAGAUCCCAGCCUCGUGAGCAGUUCCGACGCCGCCGGCGGGUGUCGGCAGGCCCUGCGUUUCCACAGAGCACUGGGGACGGUUCACAAGGCCUCUGGGGGCUGAGGCCACCCGGGUUCUCCCUGGGCCCGCAGGCUUGCGCCCCAUCUCUCCACCAGCUCUCACCUGUCCCGGCUCAUGCAUCAGCUCCCACCUGAGGCCUCGCGGUCGCCUGCUGCUGCAACGCCCCAUGGCCACACAAAUAAACUGGGCUUUAUUUGUC
This is a long non-coding RNA of Felis catus (domestic cat), 1762 nucleotides long. RefSeq lists it as uncharacterized. The transcript has 2 exons. The record is from RefSeq and is a predicted model, not a curated record. NCBI's taxonomy places the organism in Eukaryota, Metazoa, Chordata, Mammalia, Carnivora, Felidae.